CCUGGUCUUGUGGUGCUUGUGGAGGAGCAGGGGUGGCCCUUCUCCUACAUCACCACAUCAAGUAGGAGGAGGAGGUCCUCGUCAUCCAUCACAACCGUCAGGUUCGUAGUCAUCGCCUAGGUCCAAUGCUCCGGUCUAGCAUUUUUCCCUGUUGCCUUAUUCCCAAUUUUUCUAUGGUGCUCAAUUUUGUUUUCACCGUGUUCAUCAUCUCAGGGGCUUGCUGACACUGGAUCCAGUGGGGAGGAGAUCCUUUAGGCAUUUGAUUCUUGUGGGAUUCCCACGCAUCUUGCAAGAUAAACAUGCCAUUGUUUUUCACGCACACAUAUGCUUUGAUUUCUGAAUCAGGGCCGGAUAGUAAACUGCACCAUUCUAUAUUACGUUCCUAACCAAAGAUAUAUUGUUUGCUGAUACACUGGUCUUUAUUUGUUAGUUUUUACAGAAUAAAUGUAUCGUGGAUAACUAGCUUUGGGGCAUAUCCCUGCUAUCCUUUCAAAGAAAAACAUUGGUUUAAGUCUACACUUUAUUACGCAGAUGUAGCUUAACACCUUCAAAUUAUUAAUGUGUUCUCACUUUUCUUUAGGUGAUGGAUCAUCCUGAAAAACAGGUUGAGUGCAUCAGCUACUUCCAUGGCAAUGGAUUUAAGGAAUGCAAAUCAACGAGGCACAUUAUCUAACUCGUAUAAACUUAUCAUUGUUUUUACCUUUUCAUGCAGUUUUCCUUUACGAUUAUAGAUGACAUCUUAGCAGAAAGAAUAUAGUUGUGAAAUUUACUGCAAAUGUAAGCCUUGGAGUUUCAUAUUCACCUUGAAGUAUUCUUGAAAUGAAAGAUAGGCUUUGUUGGUUCCUCAGUUUGGAGAACUAGAGUUAUGGCGAUACAUAUUUGGGUAUUGAAACUAUCUGUGUUUGUGAUCAGCUCAUUUUUGUGUUGGAUGCUUAUUUAGCUAGCAGAGACGGCGCCAUCUCCGGCCGCCGGCGCUCUGCAGUGAUGCCUAAAACUGAGUUGUUGUUUAGGCCUCCUACGGUUCGUAGAUAGGAAUAUCAUCCUGUAGGGAAAGAGACUUCAUUUGAUGCAUAUAUAUAUACUAUGCUGCAUACUUUGUAGAUUUGUAUGGUUCCUAAAUAUACGACAGUGUUUGAUUAAUUUUUGUUCCAGAAAGGAGUAUCUAUCCUGUUUAUAAGGAUCCAUAUUGCAGGAUAUCAAAAUUAGUCAUUACUCAAUGCAGCCAUAUAGAUGACUGCAAAGCAAAAUUUUCAUAUCCUAAACUAUGAUUAAUACAUAGUUAUGAGCAUUUUUUCCUGUUUUACCACAGAUUGCCAUGGUCCAUGUGUUGAAAUCUGAAAUUUUUGAAUAUAUACUACUGGGUUAGUUUUAUUGCGGUAGGAUUAACUGAAGCAUAACUUAAAUGUGGCAUGUCAUUGUAAGAAGAAUCAGCUUUUGAUUAGUAUUUUGAAAUAGGAUAAAAUGAUUCAUCCAUUGAACGCGAAGAGUUCCUACCGGUAUUUGUUGGAUGACGACAAAAAAUAACUUGGGCCGUUCUAGCCCUGUUCCAAACUUCACUCGUAGAGGGUUGAGGGCGGGUGGCAGACGUCCAACCUAGAGCGCUUCAUGUACUGCACCAUCCUGGACGUCAAGGCCCACAUUCUUCUGAGGUGACACUAUUGCACCUCUCAAACCUGGCACCUUAAAUGCUUUGUCGUGUUCAAUUUUCACUGUUGCACCUCUCAAACCUGGCACCUUAAAUGCUUUGUCGUGUUCAAUUUUGCUCAAGAGUUCUGACAGUUUAAGGAUCUGUCAUUGCUUGUAUCUGUUGUGCGUGACAUGACCUUCUAAUUACCGAAUUAGUGCUCAUUGUUCGAUCAUAGACAUGAAAUGUUGAAUAAUGGUAUAGUAUACAUGUAAUGUGUCCGCUCUAUUUCCCUCUUCUCUAUUUUAAGAAUUUUUUUUGCUGCCUGCAGAGAACGAAAUUUGUUUUCUGCUGACACUAUGCAUACUGCCUAAUAAAUACACACACCUGUUGAUCCCCUGUUUUCUUGCUGUUUGACAAAUAGUACAAGCAAAGCAAGUUCAGGUGCUAUUCUAUUUAGAAAUAGCUACACAACACAUAUCAUUUAGUUACUAUGAUCAUUGUGUGUCUCGCUAGAAAUUAAUACACAUACAGGCACAUAUAGAAUCAUAAACCGCACUUACUCCCAGUAUCUUCUUCCCUACGAGGUCGGAGGCGAGCUUCCUGGCGACGGCGGCGGCGCUGGAUUUUCUCAUGGGUUGGUGGUGUAUCUACCGCUGACCUCCGGCACAGAUACACCGACCUCCGGGGCCCCAGCCCCUCCGCCCCCGGCCUCACCUUUCCCGUGUCCGCCCUCGCCGAGCAUUGAAUCUGCCGGCCACCAGGUAAGCUUUCUUCGUCCUCUUCCACCGCCUCUUACUUGCUGCUUCAAUCGCAGGCAAGAAUAGUUUAUCAAGUUCUUGCCUAGCCAUCUAUUUGUACAAUUUCUGCAGCUGUACUUUUGUGCCAUCUUCCUCCCAUUUAUUUCCUCUUGAUUGCAUAGGUUCUUUGACAAUCUGAUUUUGAUUUCUUGAAUGUUUGUAGACUCAAUGAUGGUUGAUCUUGUUAGCUACAGAUGAUAUUCCCUGUUUCGAACAAGAUUGAAUUUUGAUGGACUGCAUAUAGUGUUUGAUUCUCCUACACCGUGCCCUGAAUGAUCUUAUGUUCACCCAGACUUAUAGGUUUCUAAAUACUAGGCUCAUGGGACUUAAUUCUAAUGGUUAGUUUUUUUGGAUUCAUGUACUCUGGUGCUGCAGCCUACGUAAAACUCCUUCACAAUAGUGUUUAAAGCUUAAAUUGAUAACUCUAUCAGAGUUCAAGCAUUAGGCUCUCUGCUCUGUGUAUUGCCAAGUGUUCUAUAUAAUGCUUUGAUGUUCUUUUGUCACUGUUUGAUGUUCUGCCUUGGGUAGCCUCUGUCUUGGUUUACAGCUCCAUAUGGCAACCUAUGUAUACCUAUGUAGGUUUUGUUUGAACUGUACUCAAAUCACCCAUAUGUUUCCAUAGUCUUGCCUUCCUCUUUUUAACUCAUGAGAUUACUAGAUAGUUGAAUAUCAUCCUAAAAUCUAAAAAGUGCACGCACACUUCUUCGUAGGAACGGGCGGCCGGCUUGUUACUCACAUGUGUACUUCCUCUCUCUCAGUUUACAGGGCGUGCGCGUACCCCUAGGUCGUCAAUUUGACUAACCUAAUACAAGUCAUAUAUUACAAAAAAUAUACCAAUAUAAACUUCAGAUGUUCUAUUUUCAAAAGGUAUAAUUUUUGUGUUAUAUAGUUUAUAUUAGGGUGAUAAAAUUGGUAACCUAGGUAUACGCGUAGGACUUAUAAACUGUGAUGGAGGGAGUAUCUUUUUUUGUCAGUUAGUGAAUGUUUUUUGUUAGUAUUAAAUGCGUAUAGACUAGUCUGAGAAACAGAUUCAGGCACAUUUAUUUUGGCCUCUUAAAUUUUUUAAAAGUCAUAUCUUUUAAACCACACGUCGGAAUUCAGAUCCAUUUUCACUGUUGGAUUCAUCGCGACGAGAUCUUCGAAACUAGAUCCCGCAUGAGUAUGUUUCGACAAAAAAAUUUUGAUGCCAACUUUGAUGCUAUAUGAUGCAACUAAAGUACUGCAUUGUGCAACUUUAGUACUACAUGAUGCAACUUUUUUUAAACCAACUUUAGUACUACAUGGCUUGUAAUUUAGUCUAGUUGCACACAUAUUGAUGUUUAGUUGGCUUAUAAUGUAGUCUAGUUGCACACACAUUGAUGUUUAGUUGCCAGAAGGACUAGUUGCACACACAUAUGCUCAGUUGGCUUGUAAUUUAGUCUAGUUGCACACACAUUAAUAUUUAGUUGGCAGGACACUAGUUGCACACACACAUAUGCGCAAUUGACGCGACAAUGUAGUUUAGUUGCACACACAUUGAUAUUUAGUUGACAGGACUAGUUACACACAUAUAUGCUCAGUUAGCGCGGCAAUGUAGUCUAGUUGCACACACAUUGACAUUUAGUUGGCAGGAAGACUAGUUCGUCAAAACAACCCCAUAUGGGAUCUACUUUUGAAGAACACGUCGCGAGGGUUUCAACGAUGAAAACGAAUCUAAAUUUCGACACACGGAUUGAAAGUAUGCCUUUUUAAAAUUUUAAAAUCACAAAAUAAAUACGAACAAACACAUGCACAUGCAUAUGCAUGCACAAGAGGAGAUGCAUAUGCUAGCAUUUAAUACGUAGCAGGAAAAUGGACUAUUAAACCAAAUCUGUAGCAUAGACAGAAAUAAUACGUGCACACAAUUUAGAAUUUAGGCCGGCCGCUCGGUACGGCUACUGAGCAGCCGGCCGCUCGCUAGACUUGCCCGAAUAUCAUUGGUCUCUGUCGGCAUUCUAUUUUCGUAGUUUGAAAUGAAUAUUGGUCUAUUGAUAUUAAACUUCACAAUAGGUAGUGGCAUCUUCAGGAAAAAGUAGUGGCAGACAUGCUGGAAAUUUCUUUUCUACUGCAGGAAUGACACUUGCCCAAAUCCUCAACACAUAUUUUUGUGCUCUCAACCAAAUGUGUGUGCUAUGAUAAUUAAGGUUACCAAGAUGAAUGGUGUUUCUAUAGGGCCGGACAUAUUUCUUAUCUUCAUAAAUCAGUGAUGCACAGAUUAUCUUAGCUAUAUUGUGAAUCUUGAUAACCUCACGAUGAACAAAUUUUGCGGCCUGUAUUUGGGAUAAUUCAAAUUGUUGCGAAAUGUGUUCGUCCAGGAAAAGUCACUACAUCAUAUGUCCUAGAUAAAUCUUUACUGAACAUUUUAGUUUUCCUCAUACAUGCUUAUCAUUUGGCAUAAUGUUAUUUUGCGAGCUUAAUUCUACCCUGAAUAUACAAACAAUCAGUUUGUUUAUUUUUUUUGCUGUCAUAAUAAGACCCUGAAACCAUCUUCCAUCAAACACAUAUCUGUAGUAUCUAUACUAUGUACAAGGUGCAGAUAGAUAUAUUUGUUGACCAAGCAAUUCCCCUCUUUUGAGACAAAGACCAAUAUAUGAUUACCCAUCCCCUGGUUUCCUUUCUAUUUUUUAUUCCAAUAUAACAUGAUGAGCUAUUCGUUGUUUUCUAAUUUCAGUGUAAUCUAAAAUCAGACUGUGCGAACAUAGAUGCAUUUAUUCACAAAUUAGCAAGCACCUGAGUGAAGAACCCUUAAAAUGUAUGGAAAAUGCAAUUACCACCGGCAAAUAAAUUGGCAUUUGUAUUCCAGGUAACAGUCCCGAAAAGAAAGAGGACUAUGGACCUGAGUGGGAAUGGAGGCAGGAUAUUCUUCUGGAUGGCUAUGUUGAGGUGGUGGUUGGUCCGAUCCAUGGUGUACGCAAAAUCGGUCAGCAUGGUGGAGUUGUGCUGUGGGGAGGACACUGGUUUGGAGAUCUAGGCGACUAUCUGCGUGCUGGGUGGAUCAGUAGCCCACCUCGGGAUAGAGGCAAGCGGCGCUUCACGUGUGCCUCGCCAUGCCACAACAGUGGCGUUGACAAUGUUUAAUCCUAAGACCACUAUUUUUGUGUCUAUAUGCAGUGUUCACUUUGUCUAUAUCUUGGCAAUGUUUAAUCAUAAAACCACUAAUUCUGUGUCUAUAUGCAGUGUUCACUUCAUCUAUAUCAUAUUUAUUUUAUAUGGCAAAUCAUCUUUCGAAAUUAACCAAGCCUAACUACACACUAGGAAUAUGGUGAAAACUAAUAUGAAACAACAACUUUUGUCACAUAUACCAAACCAAG
This 5753-nucleotide long non-coding RNA is filed under the name Triticum aestivum (bread wheat). Its description in RNAcentral is "long non-coding RNA (TAES_LNC014656)". The record is from RNAcentral. Lineage: Eukaryota; Viridiplantae; Streptophyta; Magnoliopsida; Poales; Poaceae.